RNAcentral lists this ribosomal RNA (798 nucleotides) under uncultured bacterium. RNAcentral describes it as "bacterial SSU rRNA". It matches the Rfam family "Bacterial small subunit ribosomal RNA", at positions 95 to 900 of the family's 1533-position model. The record is from RNAcentral.
GCGGCGAAGGGAGAGUAACGCGUAGAUAUCUGCCUCGAGGCCCGGGAUAGCGGCGGGAAACUGCCGGUAAUACCGGAUAACAUCUCCGGAUCAAAGGUGUGAUUCCGCCUCGAGAUGAGUCUGCGUCCUAUUAAUGCUUGUUGGUGUGGUAACGGCGCACCAAGGCGAAGAUGGGUACCGGGUGUGAGAGCAUGGCCCGGCUCACUGGGACUGAGACACUGCCCAGACACCUACGGGUGGCUGCAGUCGAGAAUCUUCGGCAAUGGGCGAAAGCCUGACCGAGCGACGCCGCGUGCGGGAUGAAGGCCCUCGGGUUGUAAACCGCUGUCAGUAGGGAGCAAAUCUCUUGGGGUUAUCCCCUUGAGUUGAGCGAUCUUCACAGGAAGUACGGGCUAAGUUCGUGCCAGCAGCCGCGGUAAGACGAACCGUACGAACGUUAUUCGGAAUCACUGGGCUUAAAGAGUCCGUAGGCGGCCGUGUAGGUGGGAUGUGAAAGCCCUCGUCUCAACCGAGGAAUUGCGUUCCAAACCACAUGGCUUGAGGAGGAUAGAGGUGAGCGGAACUGAUGGUGGAGCGGUGAAAUGCGUUGAUAUCAUCAGGAACACCAGAGGCGAAGGCGGCUCACUGGGUCCUUUCUGACGCUGAGGGACGAAAGCUAGGGGAGCAAACGGGAUUAGAUACCCCGGUAGUCCUAGCUGUAAACGAUGAGCACUAGAUCGAGGGGACUUCCACAUCUUCUCGGUCGUAGCGAAAGUGUUAGUGCUCCGCCUGGGGGAGUAUGGUCGCAAGGGCUGAAAC